ACUCUCACUCUCCUCUCUUUUUAUCUCUUCUGCCUCCUACGUCGUUGCCUCACUACUGCUGCCGUCACCUCCUCCUUCGUCGCCCUCUCUCUCGUCUCCUAUUCUCUUCACCGAUCUUCACUGGUCGUUUACUUCGUCUUCUCCACUCUCGUCGUUGGUUCCAAAACGCUAACCCUACGUUCGAUCUUCUCCAAUCCCUUCACAAGCCAUAUGUUCGAAUCCAAACCCUACACUCCCCUCAACUGUUUCAGAACCUUUGUCUACAAAGGACUACCGUCGGACUCGUCAGAACGGCGAUCUUGAACGGGCUGAUUGCGACGAGAAAGAUUAGGUGGCAAGGCACAUUAAUGCGUCAAAAAUGAAAUCGGAAGAUGGACAAUUCAUCUUUGCACUAAUUUUUCUCUCCAUUUCUGUUGAAUCGACUCCUCGAUCUUCUCUGAUCAGAACUCUGCACCAGAUUUGCCAGUUCAGCCCAGCUCCAGGUUUAGCCUUGAGUUAAUAGUCACUGCUGGCGAGGAUUGUACAUGUCGUGUGUGGGGAUUGGAUGGUAACUAGCUUAAGAUGAUAAUGGAGCACAUUGGGAGGGGAAUUUGGUGAUGCUUGUAUGAUCCAAACUGUUCACUACUUGUUGCUGCUGGAUGUGACUCAUCAAUUAAAAGCACAGUUGCUGAAUGCUUCCCUGUUCAAGAGCUCAGAGAGGCAUGAUGAGGAAACAAAGAACUCACUGAUAGAACAAAGAUCUUCACUGUUCGUAUCCCACGUUCAUUUGAGUAUAUUGGACUCAUGAACAGAUUGCCCCUUGGAUUGUCCAAAAUGAUCUCUCUAGAACAUCAAAAAAUCAGCAUUUUCAGGUCAAUGAGCAGAAAUCAAUGAGAGGCAUGCAUUUUAAAAAGGUGCCUGCAAUUAUGUUUAAUAAAUAAAGAUGUAUACA
Camellia sinensis is the source of this 931-nucleotide non-coding RNA. The record is from RefSeq and is a predicted model, not a curated record. NCBI's taxonomy places the organism in Eukaryota, Viridiplantae, Streptophyta, Magnoliopsida, Ericales, Theaceae.